Molecule: ribosomal RNA, 253 nt
Filed under: uncultured bacterium
Lineage: Bacteria
Description: partial 16S ribosomal RNA
Rfam family: Bacterial small subunit ribosomal RNA
Source: RNAcentral
UACGUAGGGGCAAGCGUUGUCCGGAAUCAUUGGGCGUAAAGAAGCGUGUAGGCGGCUCGGUAAGUCCGCUGUGAAAGUCCAGGGCUCAACCCUGGAAUGCCGGUGGAAACUGUCGAGCUAGAGUCCGGAAGAGGCGAGUGGAAUUCCUGGUGUAGCGGUGAAAUGCGCAGAUAUCAGGAGGAACACCAAUGGCGAAGGCAGCUCGCUGGGACGGUACUGACGCUGAGACGCGAAAGCGUGGGGAGCAAACAGG